RNAcentral lists this microRNA (25 nucleotides) under Equus caballus (horse). RNAcentral's name for it is "eca-miR-8994". Lineage: Eukaryota; Metazoa; Chordata; Mammalia; Perissodactyla; Equidae. The record is from miRBase by way of RNAcentral.
UCCCCGCUCUUGAUGCGCGUGCGCA